AGAGGCUUUGUGCGGAUACGGGG
RNAcentral lists this microRNA (23 nucleotides) under Homo sapiens (human). RNAcentral describes it as "hsa-miR-3188". Lineage: Eukaryota; Metazoa; Chordata; Mammalia; Primates; Hominidae. The record is from miRBase by way of RNAcentral.